CUGACGAGUGGCGAACGGGUGAGUAAUAUAUCGGAACGUACCCAGAAGUGGGGGAUAACGUAGCGAAAGUUACGCUAAUACCGCAUACGAUCCACGGAUGAAAGUAGGGGACCUUCGGGCCUUAUGCUUUUGGAGCGGCCGAUAUCUGAUUAGCUAGUUGGUGAGGUAAAGGCUCACCAAGGCGACGAUCAGUAGCUGGUCUGAGAGGACGACCAGCCACACUGGAACUGAGACACGGUCCAGACUCCUACGGGAGGCAGCAGUGGGGAAUUUUGGACAAUGGGCGCAAGCCUGAUCCAGCAAUGCCGCGUGAGUGAAGAAGGCCUUCGGGUUGUAAAGCUCUUUUGUCAGGGAAGAAACGGCUGUGGCUAAUAUCCACGGCUAAUGACGGUACCUGAAGAAUAAGCACCGGCUAACUACGUGCCAGCAGCCGCGGUAAUACGUAGGGUGCAAGCGUUAAUCGGAAUUACUGGGCGUAAAGCGUGCGCAGGCGGUUUUGUAAGUCUGACGUGAAAUCCCCGGGCUCAACCUGGGAAUUGCGUUGGAGACUGCAAGGCUAGAAUCUGGCAGAGGGGGGUAGAAUUCCACGUGUAGCAGUGAAAUGCGUAGAGAUGUGGAGGAACACCGAUGGCGAAGGCAGCCCCCUGGGUCAAGAUUGACGCUCAUGCACGAAAGCGUGGGGAGCAAACAGGAUUAGAUACCCUGGUAGUCCACGCCCUAAACGAUGUCUACUAGUUGUCGGGUUUUAAUUAACUUGGUAACGCAGCUAACGCGUGAAGUAGACCGCCUGGGGAGUACGGUCGCAAGAUUAAAACUCAAAGGAAUUGACGGGGACCCGCACAAGCGGUGGAUGAUGUGGAUUAAUUCGAUGCAACGCGAAAAA
This 883-nucleotide ribosomal RNA is filed under the name Massilia oculi. RNAcentral's name for it is "bacterial SSU rRNA". It matches the Rfam family "Bacterial small subunit ribosomal RNA", at positions 88 to 968 of the family's 1533-position model. Lineage: Bacteria; Pseudomonadati; Pseudomonadota; Betaproteobacteria; Burkholderiales; Oxalobacteraceae. The record is from RNAcentral.